AGUGGAGUAGGGUGGUGUUAAUUUUAUUUGAUAUAACUUUGAAAUGAGUGAGUGUAGUUUUCGAUGGUAGGGUGUUCAUUUAGUACGUUUGUAUUUUUCAAGAAAAGUAUAAGGGUGUUGUACUCCAGUCUAGUAGGUGGCGGUAAUUCAACAAAUUGGAUGCCAACCACCGUUAAACCUCAUAGAAGAAGAGUUUUUGCUCCAAAGGAUCAUGGGAACUUUCUUUUCCGAAGAUAGCAAUGUGCUGUCAACGUUUUACUCAUUCCAUUUUGUGAUACUACAGCGAGUGGGAUCUUGGAAUUUUAAUCUAUUCAUGUUUUGACUACAUUUUUGGUCGUAAGACGCAUCAUCGUAACGUUAAGUGCAUUGACUUUUUAUCCUCGAACAUUUUAUUUUGAUUCAGUUGAAUUUAUCCAGCUGUAUAGUUGUGAAUGAUCUCGCUGGCUGAGUUGAUAUUACAAACGGCUAACUCACAGACACGAUUUAUUUUUUAACAUUUUGUGAAAUGUGCUUGGACAGCAUGGAAACUAAAGUGGAAUUCAAAGUACUGAAACCUUGCUACUCCAGAAGAUCUGGUAAACGUUCAAAGUGCAGACUGAGGAAACUUCUCCAUUUGAGUUCCAAGGAAGGCCUGAAACGGUGGCGCACCAACCUUGUCAAAGCCACUCUCAAAAAAUACAUUCGUUGCGAACAGAAGAGGGUGCUCACUAAACUGGUCAUCCAAGAACAACUUUUGACGGGCAACGGCGAAGAUAUGACGUAUAUGGUGACCGAGAAUAUUGGCAGAAUUACACGACCACUAGGCGCAAUGGCGCCAAAGAAUACAACACAGUAUCUGAUGGACAUUGUAUACGACGACAUGCACAUCGACACCAGUUCCAACCAGUUCAAGUCGCACCCAGUUUCAUUUGUUUCUAGCGCCUCUCUUUCACCCAGGACUGCGUGUGAAAGUUCUCUUGAUUUUCAACAGAGGGACUUCGACGAAAUGUAUCUCCAUUUUGGAUCAUGUUGAUCAGGCUUGAACCAGUCUGUGGCAGAGCUGACCAAUGCAUUGACUCUAAACCUCGCAAACCAAGCGACGCACCGGACGCUGCCUGUCAGUAGGGGGCGCUCGCUCGCAGCGUCGCUUCCGGUGAAGUUGAGUCCACCGCUAAGGUAUCCCAGGUAAACCUGCGUCACCAACAGGUAAACGUGGCAGGUAGUGGAGUCAUCCUGUAAGGUUCUAUGGUGCAAUUUGACUUCAUUUGGUUGCAUUUCAUUGACCUUACUACAGGUGUAGUCUCAUAGUCAAUAUGGCGUAAUCUUGGUUGUAUACACAGUACCCAGAUGUGUUCACAGCCAUCUGCUGUAUUUACUCUGGUGCGAGCCUUUUUCAGGUCACUCCGUUCUUCUACAUGCCUCCUACCUGACUGCAAUCAGCUCGGCUGUUGCCAGAUCGAUGGACACGUGCGGAUGACUGAGGAAGGAAGUAAGGUUUCAAGUCCACCUCACAUGUAGUGUUGCACUUCUAAUGUAUACUUAAUGGGUAAUACUGACUUGAUUAGCAAUCAUGUUACCAAAUGCAAGUUUGGGUAAUAUUCACUCAUUACAGAUAUGUUACCCAUAGCAAAGACAUUCAAUCCAUUUUUUGAUUACUUAAUGUAAACUUUUGUUUAAAAACAUGUCGCCAAUGACAUAGAUGUAAAUGUAUUGUAUGUCUCUGGACAUGUUGAGAAAUCCUAACUUCCUAGUUAAAUGCUCGUGUGAAUAAAAGUGUAUGACCUGUU
Long non-coding RNA from Salmo salar (Atlantic salmon), 1766 nucleotides. RefSeq lists it as uncharacterized. The record is from RefSeq and is a predicted model, not a curated record. NCBI's taxonomy places the organism in Eukaryota, Metazoa, Chordata, Actinopteri, Salmoniformes, Salmonidae.